This 117-nucleotide ribosomal RNA is filed under the name Proteobacteria bacterium CG1_02_64_396. Lineage: Bacteria; Pseudomonadati; Pseudomonadota. RNAcentral also lists the same sequence under 1 other name. The record is from RNAcentral.
CUUGGGGGUUAAGCAGCGGGGUAACACCUGAUCCCAUUCCGAACUCAGAAGUGAAGACCGCUCGCGCCGAUGAUACUUGGUCUGUAUACGUCCAGGGAAAGUAGGUCACCCCCAAGA